UCUCCGUUGGUGAACCAGCGGAGGGAUCAUUACCGAGUUAUCAACUCCCAAACCCCUGUGAACAUACCCAACGUUGCUUCGGCGGGACCGCCCCGGCGCCCUCGGCGUGCCGGAACCAGGCCCCCGCCGGAGGACCAAAACUCUUGUUUAAACCAUAGUGGCAUAUUCUAAGUCUCACAAGCAAAACGAAUCAAAACUUUCAGCAACGGAUCUCUUGGCUCUG
RNAcentral lists this unclassified non-coding RNA (223 nucleotides) under plant metagenome. Its description in RNAcentral is "partial contains small subunit ribosomal RNA, internal transcribed spacer 1, and 5.8S ribosomal RNA". The record is from RNAcentral.